CUUGAGAUCGCGUAUUGAGGAUAUUUGUUAAUAUUGGAUGAAUGCGAAAUAAAAUCUUCUCGCAGACUUCCACGGGGCCAAAACCCUAGCCGAUAGUUGAGUGUGGAUGAAGACAGGCAGUUCAAACUAUCAGACCAGGAGAAGCUAAGCUACGUUCAAGCUUUUGUUUACGAAAUACUUCAUUUCAGUCCUAUUGGAAUACAAGAUUCUCGACCACUGUGACGUCCCUGAGUACCCGUGCGAUGCCAUCUGUAUUGGCUGGAAUGAAAAUGCAGUUAUGAUGAUAUUAACAUGACAAUAAACAGUUAUAGAUCGAAACAUUUUAAAGACUACAAGGUUAUGAUACUCACAUAUGAUUUACGUAGCAGGUUUCUACAAUGGCCAACCGUAUCUCUAAACCGAUACCGCCUUGUACGUCUAAACAAUCGCAGAACAACUGUUCAGAAAACUAAUCGAACACGAGGCAACGAGGGACACGGAUGUGAUGUUUGUUGUAUGUAGCCAUGGGAUGAAGAUUAUUAUUACAGAUUACGCUAACGAUCGAAUGAUUUCUGUCGACAAUAAUGGAGGAGUGAUUUAAACGUUCCAUAUUAUGAGAGGCCCAUUGGG
This is a long non-coding RNA of Mya arenaria, 609 nucleotides long. RefSeq lists it as uncharacterized. NCBI's taxonomy places the organism in Eukaryota, Metazoa, Mollusca, Bivalvia, Myida, Myidae. The record is from RefSeq and is a predicted model, not a curated record. The transcript has 4 exons.